CGCAGUUCAAUGAUUGGGAGAGUACUGAUCGACGUCUAUGUCCAAGUGAGCCGGGAGAGUGGGAACCGGUACAGGCUCGGUCACGAAGCGGACCCAUGAGAUGGUCUUCUGAAACAACUAGUAGGAAGACCCGGCUUACACCGUUAUUGUAUUGAAGUGGUUAAACCUAUGGUUUAGCAACGAGAGUGGUACCGCGAGCGCUAUUGUCCUCGUCUCUUAU
RNAcentral lists this non-coding RNA (220 nucleotides) under Paenibacillus uliginis. Its description in RNAcentral is "T-box sequence". It matches the Rfam family "T-box leader". Rfam says of the family: Uncharged tRNA acts as the effector for transcription antitermination of genes in the T-box leader family. T-boxes are found upstream of many aminoacyl-tRNA synthetase genes and some amino acid biosynthetic genes usually in Gram-positive bacteria. The anticodon of a specific tRNA base pairs to a specifier sequence within the T-box motif, and the NCCA acceptor tail of the tRNA base pairs to a conserved bulge in the T-box antiterminator hairpin. Lineage: Bacteria; Bacillati; Bacillota; Bacilli; Caryophanales; Paenibacillaceae. The record is from RNAcentral.